GAUGAACGCUGGCGGCGUGCCUAAUACAUGCAAGUCGAGCGAACAGAUGAGGAGCUUGCUCCUCUGACGUUAGCGGCGGACGGGUGAGUAACACGUGGAUAACCUACCUAUAAGACUGGGAUAACUUCGGGAAACCGGAGCUAAUACCGGAUAAUAUAUUGAACCGCAUGGUUCAAUAGUGAAAGACGGUUUUGCUGUCACUUAUAGAUGGAUCCGCGCCGCAUUAGCUAGUUGGUAAGGUAACGGCUUACCAAGGCAACGAUGCGUAGCCGACCUGAGAGGGUGAUCGGCCAAACUGGAACUGAGACCAGGUCCAGACUCCUAAGGGAGGCAGCAGUAGGGAAUCUUCCGCAAUGGGCGAAAGCCUGACGGAGCAACGCCGCGUGAGUGAUGAAGGUCUUCGGAUCGUAAAACUCUGUUAUUAGGGAAGAACAAAUGUGUAAGUAACUAUGCACGUCUUGACGGUACCUAAUCAGAAAGCCACGGCUAACUACGUG
Molecule: ribosomal RNA, 497 nt
Filed under: uncultured bacterium
Lineage: Bacteria
Description: partial 16S ribosomal RNA
Rfam family: Bacterial small subunit ribosomal RNA
Source: RNAcentral